Non-coding RNA from Heterocephalus glaber (naked mole-rat), 2252 nucleotides. The record is from RefSeq and is a predicted model, not a curated record. Lineage: Eukaryota; Metazoa; Chordata; Mammalia; Rodentia; Bathyergidae.
UGUUAAAGAAGAGACAGAAACAGACAACCUUAGACCAAUUUUUAGUUCUGAAAAGGUUGAGACUCAGUAAGCCAGAAGCAGGUCCUACUGGGCUACAGACUCUCCCAAGGAGAGAAAGGAGACCAGAGAGCCAGGUUUCUGAUGUUAUGGAAGGGGACUCUCCUUCCAAACAGUAACCACCUUCCAUUUCAUCCUCCCUGCAAGCCAAAGAUAUCAACUUGAAUGCAGGAAACCAUGUGAGCGGGGUCAGCUGCACCCACCAAUCCCGGAGAUAGUUCUGCAGACUCGUCAAGGCAGCGAGGGUCGCAGCUGGAAACCUCUCGGGGCUCGCAACGCCAUCCCUCCCCACCUUCCCUCCCGCCGUCCACCAGCUCCCCAGCCUCGCGAAGAAGCCGCCCCGGGGCCCGCGCAGGUGACAAGUGUCUCGCGACCUGCUUUCUCUUCAGGGAAACCGGGACACUUCCCCCGCCCGCUCCCCAUUUCCGGGUCCCCCACAUCCCGCCUCCUCACUCCAGAGGGAAACAGCAGGAAGCGGCUCCCAGCCCCACCCUGGCGCCAGGCGCAGAGGCCGCCGGGAGAGCGGAGUCCGCCCGCCGAGCCACGCCUCCUCGCGGACGGGCGGGGAAUGCAGAUUAGCGGUGGCGUCCAACGGGAGGGACCCCGGGACCAAGAAGUUCGGGUGGAGUUGGUCCUGAAAACCGCGAAGAAGAAGAAAUGGGCAGCGAAGGCUGAUGAGGUCCGCCUGGGAGUGAAUGAGGAGCGGGAGAGGGCAGAAAGACUAGGGGUCCGUAUUGUGACCGCGCGUUGAAUGUGAAGGCAGGGAGGGCGGCUAGGCUGCGGGUGGAGUAGUGGGUUGGUUUUUAUCCCGUUUAUUUGUCAAGUUAGUGUAGCCUUUGUUGUAAAUUUAGUAUGUAGGGGGUUUUUUUGUUGUUACUGUGGGGGCGGGGGCGUUGAGCUGUAUUCUUUUCGCUCGUGAGGUAGGGGGUGUAACCACUGAGCUAAGUUUUUCGCUCCUAACUUGUUUUGUUUUUUUUUUUUCCUUUGGACCUGCAGGCUAUGUAUGAGGUGGGACUUUGUAGCUGAGAAGUUAAGUAGGAGCGUGUUUCGUCUGCUCUUUGUACUGAGUUGGUGUUGAAAUAGUGUCAGGAACAGUAUUUUUUUUGAGUCUGAUUGUAUUAAAAGAACUGUUUCGUGUUUUACUCUCAGGAUGUGGGGUUAAGUUGGUGAACCGUUGUUUUGAUUUGUAAGUGUUUAGUAGUAUUUUGCUUGUGCAGUUUGUUAGGUUAACCCUGUUCCUGCUUUUGUUAAGGAAUGGGUCUAUUUUCCGCAGGUCUAUGUUUUGGUUAGGAGGUUCAUUGAAAAAGUUUUGGAUAAAGUUACUGUUUCCUACGGAGGUUUUUUGGAAGGAAGCUCACACUUAAUAGAGGUCUCUGCUGAGACUGCACUUAUAUUUGGGAGUAGGUGGGGUCAAUCCGUUAUAGAUUAGGUUCAUAAGUUUUUUUGUUUUUGGGUACCAGGCAUUGAACUCCGGUCUUUUCGGUUGCCAGGCAGGAGGCGGGACCGCUGAGCUAAAUCCCCGGCUCCAAGAUUAAUACAUUUCUGUUAAUCAGUAUCACCCACAUUAAAUUGUGGUAUCCACCACAUUAAAUUGAGAAAGGCCUUCCUGGAAGUACUGAUAUAUGCUACGUGGGUCUUUCCUAGUGGAAAUGAACAUUAAAACACAAAUAUGCAGAAAAUUACUUGGUUGGAACAUAAAAGGAUAAGAAAAGAUUUUAAGGAGCUGAGAAGCUCCUUAGACAACGGAAGUAAGAGAAAAUGAGGGAAUGAUCAGAUGAGGUUCAAACCAGGUACCAGCUUGAGGUGAUUUAGUUUCCAGGAAAGGAUUGUUUAUGGCAGUUUCAGUCAUGUAAGGCUCUGUUUUUCCUGGGACUCACGUGGACGCAGGUGUGGGAAAAUGGCUGGAAAGUUCAAAGCAUUACCCUAGAGGGGUCUGCAACUGGACGCUGUCAAAAGAUGUCCAUAUCCCCAAGAAUCCUGAAUAUUACUUUAGUUAUUUUGUUGUCCUUUGUCUUGAAGAGGAUGAGAUAGGCUAGGUAAAUUUAGGGGUAAUAAAAAUAAUUGACUUUUUCUAAAUGAUUAACCUAUUAAAAGAUACAGAAUGGGGCCGGGGUUUUAGCUCAGUGGUUCUGCCACCUGCCUCACAAGCUCAAGGUCCAGAGGUCGAUCCUUUGUACCAAAAAAAAAAAAAAAAA